CGACGAUCCGAGACCACCUAUGGAUUGAGGAAGAGGAGAGAAACAUGGUGGUAUGAUCAGAUCCAGCAAAUGUAGCCGGCGACUGGCGGCCGGCCACCGUGCGCGGUUGUUCCGGCGGUGGCUCCGGUGGACUAUGGAGAUGAUUCAACUUUCAGAGGCUUCCUCAUAAAUUUUUGAAAUUUUUGAGACACAGAUAAAUUUCGGGUGAUCGAGGUCAGCUAUUCUUCUGCAUCCAGCAACCACAAUAGUCAUCGGUGUACUGCUACAGGAGGAGACAUUUUUCAGAAUAACCUGUCCCUUUCCUCUCAGGUUAUGAAAAGAUUACUUAAUUGUAUUAUUAUUCUCUAAAUUUGUAAUUUAGGACUCCGCAUGUGCUAGUAGUAGCAUUAAGCCUAUCAGAGACUGUAUGAAUUC
RNAcentral lists this unclassified non-coding RNA (414 nucleotides) under Hevea brasiliensis (rubber tree). Lineage: Eukaryota; Viridiplantae; Streptophyta; Magnoliopsida; Malpighiales; Euphorbiaceae. The record is from RNAcentral.